This is a long non-coding RNA of Polypterus senegalus (gray bichir), 320 nucleotides long. RefSeq lists it as uncharacterized. The record is from RefSeq and is a predicted model, not a curated record. The transcript is spliced from 3 exons. NCBI's taxonomy places the organism in Eukaryota, Metazoa, Chordata, Cladistia, Polypteriformes, Polypteridae.
GCCAACUCUGUGUACUUGAGAUGUUUUCUUUCAUGGGCUGCUGCCAUGCCCUCUUCCCAGGGGAUGGGUCCAGACUCCUUGGCAGCCCUGGGAUACUGCCUUUAUGUGAUAACCUGCUCUAGCCUGGUGACUUCAUCUACCACCAUGGCCUUUUGCCUGUGCUUUUUGGUGGCUUUUGACCAACACCGAUGUGGUGCUCCCAAACCUAAUCCAGCAGGACUGAUCUGGACUGUCCCCAUCCCCUCCUGGUGAUGCAGGGAAAACAGUGGUGGGGUUUAUGUUCAUUUUUGACAGCAAGUAACAAUGGCACCAGAAAGAUA